CCCCGCCCGCACCGGCUGGGGUGACGCAGGCCUGCGGAGCCGAGCGCCCGGGGAGGGCGUGGUGACGUCACCACGCCGGGUCAGGGCCCCGGCGAGGCUCGGAGCCCACGGUCGCUAUAGCAAUCGGGACUGCUACCUGGCCGCUCUAGGGCUCAGUCUACCUGAGGCCUGAGGCUGGAGCCGGGAGGGAGGCCUGGAGGGCUUCCCGCUCUCACGUCUCACGCGGCGUGCGGGCAAGAAGGUGCGCGUCUGGAGUCGGUGGCGGCUAACGGCGGGCAGGUUGUAAGGGGGGUUCCCGCGGGUCCACCGCCGGCACGGGGCUGCCUCCAGGCCGCGGCGGCGCGCCCUCAGCAAGAACCGCGCCCUACGGUCCUGGGGCGCUUGACGUGCGCAGUCCGCAGGCAUUGCUUACUGAACCUUGGAGCCAACCCCCUAAAGGAACCAACUGCAGGUACAUGAAAGGACGGACACAAGAAUGCUCCUGGUAGUGCUGUCUGCAAGCACAAAGAGCUGGCAGUGACCCACAUAGCCCCGGGCGUUGUGGGUGUCAUAGGACGGGCUGAACACGGAAUGGACCCCAGCUUCCUCCAUCAACACGGAUGGCUCUCAGAAACAUACAGUGGCCAAAAAAGAAAGUUUCAGGAAACGGAUUCCUUGCAGCCUGCACUCAGCGUGAAGGAUUUCUCCAGAACCGGUUCCUCCCAUGCAGCAGCUCCUGCCUUCAUACAGGAGAGGGGACCAUAAAAAUAGAUGAAAGCUAGGAGCUCAGUGCAGUCAUUUGGGAAACAAUUUGGGCCUUUCAGAAAUUAAUGUUAUUUAAAGAUGCAGAUUCAUCCACCCCAGUGGCCUCCUGGGAGUGCUUCCCGAACCAUCUGGUUCAAUCGGCUCAUUUUCUUUCCCCUAAUCCUCCUGGCUCUCGUGUGUGUAUGUACAGGGAAGGCUCCUGGGGAAUUCACAGCAUGAAUAAAAAGCAAAGAGCUUUCUCUUUCA
Ictidomys tridecemlineatus (thirteen-lined ground squirrel) is the source of this 990-nucleotide non-coding RNA. The record is from RefSeq and is a predicted model, not a curated record. Lineage: Eukaryota; Metazoa; Chordata; Mammalia; Rodentia; Sciuridae.